RNAcentral lists this ribosomal RNA (351 nucleotides) under uncultured bacterium. Its description in RNAcentral is "partial 16S ribosomal RNA". It matches the Rfam family "Bacterial small subunit ribosomal RNA", at positions 338 to 706 of the family's 1533-position model. The record is from RNAcentral.
CCUACGGGAGGCAGCAGUGGGGAAUCUUGCACAAUGGGGGAAACCCUGAUGCAGCGACGCCGCGUGAGUGAAGAAGUAUUUCGGUAUGUAAAGCUCUAUCAGCAGGGAAGAAAAUGACGGUACCUGAUUAAGAAGCCCCGGCUAACUACGUGCCAGCAGCCGCGGUAAUACGUAGGGGGCAAGCGUUAUCCGGAUUUACGGGGGGUAAAGGGAGCGUAGACGGUGAUGCAAGUCAGAAGUGAAAGCCCGGGGCUAAACUCCGGGACUGCUUUUGAAACUGUGUGACUGGGGUGCAGGAGAGGUAGUCGGAAUUCGUGGUGUAGCGGUGAAAGGGGUAGAUAUCAGGAGGAA